RNAcentral lists this RNase P RNA (412 nucleotides) under Hyphomicrobiaceae bacterium. RNAcentral describes it as "RNase P RNA component class A". It matches the Rfam family "Bacterial RNase P class A". Rfam says of the family: Ribonuclease P (RNase P) is a ubiquitous endoribonuclease, found in archaea, bacteria and eukarya as well as chloroplasts and mitochondria. Its best characterised activity is the generation of mature 5'-ends of tRNAs by cleaving the 5'-leader elements of precursor-tRNAs. The record is from RNAcentral. Lineage: Bacteria; Pseudomonadati; Pseudomonadota; Alphaproteobacteria; Hyphomicrobiales; Hyphomicrobiaceae.
CCAGUCGGCCGGACGGCUGCUGGCCCCGCCGCCCGCAAGGGUAAAGCUGGGCUGGAGGAAAGUCCGGGCUCCAAGGAAGCACGGUGGCGGCUAACGGCCGCCGGGGGCAACCCCAGGGAAAGUGCCACAGAAAGCAAACCGCUCUCAGCGCGCAAGCGUCGCGAGCAAGGGUGAAAGGGUGCGGUAAGAGCGCACCGCGCGCCUGGCAACAGGCGUGGCAAGGUAAACCCCACCGGGAGCAAGACCAAAUAGGGGUGGCCAGGCAUGAUCGGUUCGCCGCUCGAUGCCAGGUUGGUUUCCUGACCCGCCACCCGGGUUGGUUGCACGAGGCGUUGCGCGAGCGGCGUCCCAGAUGAAUGGCCGUCGCGGAGGCAACUCCAGACAGAACCCGGCUUACAGGCCGACUGGUAAA